UACUAUAAGACUGGGAUAACUUCGGGAAACCGGAGCUAAUACCGGAUAAUAUUUUGAACCGCAUGGUUCAAAAGUGAAAGACGGUCUUGCUGUCACUUAUAGAUGGAUCCGCGCUGCAUUAGCUAGUUGGUAAGGUAACGGCUUACCAAGGCAACGAUGCAUAGCCGACCUGAGAGGGUGAUCGGCCACACUGGGACUGAGACACGGUCCAG
RNAcentral lists this ribosomal RNA (212 nucleotides) under uncultured Staphylococcus sp. Its description in RNAcentral is "partial 16S ribosomal RNA". It matches the Rfam family "Bacterial small subunit ribosomal RNA", at positions 128 to 334 of the family's 1533-position model. The record is from RNAcentral. Lineage: Bacteria; Bacillati; Bacillota; Bacilli; Caryophanales; Staphylococcaceae.